This is an RNA transcript of Fragaria vesca subsp. vesca, 1022 nucleotides long. RefSeq lists it as uncharacterized. The record is from RefSeq and is a predicted model, not a curated record. The transcript is spliced from 2 exons. Lineage: Eukaryota; Viridiplantae; Streptophyta; Magnoliopsida; Rosales; Rosaceae.
ACAAAGCAACUGGACAUUGCAAAAACAGAUGGUUCACAUACUCAGCUCCCUAUUUGCACAUAUCUGAGAGGAAAGACGUGCAACUACUCCCAAUUCUAAUCCAAAAGGUGCGAAAUUAAAAUCCUUUCAACUUGCGAGGGUAUGGAUACAAUUAUACAAAUGCUUAAAAUCUACUGUGCAUCUAAAGCUAAAAGAAAUAUAACUGUUACUACAUUAUACUUUAUUCAAGUGCUAUUGUGUUACCUGUCCCUCAAGUCAGCUAUUCUGUAACAAAAGAUAGAAUACUUGCCGCAACUUCAUCAUACAAGUGGCAUGCAGGCUCAUGAGUAACCAAGUCUUGAAAUGAAGCCUUCUAGAUUUCCCUGCGAGACAAUUUGACAAUCCAAACUCAAGUUCUCCACGUUCACAGACACUUAAUCUGAAAAUCAAAAUUCAUUUAGAUCAAUAAAUGGCAUGGUGAGUAGUUAUAUGUCUCUAAUUGUGUAAUCCAACAACUCCGAUCCUGUUAGAAUCCAAAGCCAACACCACGUCAGAACUUAAUAUAACGAGCUUUUUCUCUCUGCUCUUGCUCAGUAAACAUCAGCUUUUAGAUCAAGACUUGAACUUCAGAAGGUGUCACGCAUAUGUAAAUAUAUGUGAACAUGUCAUUUAGUACUACAGAUAUUAUCAUUUUCUCUUGCGAUGAUGAUAUGUACGUUGUUGAGUGAAUUAGAUUUUGAGGAGUAAUAGGUGCUUUUGGGUUCAAGUUGUGUCCUAAUCAUAUUAGUGUAAUUUUCUUGAUUAAUUGAUAGCUUGAUUUGAAUAUAAUGGGUAAUUUAAUUGAGUUUUUUUUUAGGGUUUAACCUGGAAACGAUGACUUCUGGGUGAACUACUAUGGUACAUGAACGAUGACAGAAAAAGGAAUAUAUCAACAAAGCUAAUCAAUUAUGAUUGAUAUUUUAUUGUUUUUGGCUUAAAUGUAUCGACUUCUUUUUCAUCAACUCAUCUACAUUAUAUACUCAAAAGUACAGUGUUCUGAUUCU